RNAcentral lists this ribosomal RNA (253 nucleotides) under uncultured bacterium. RNAcentral describes it as "partial 16S ribosomal RNA". It matches the Rfam family "Bacterial small subunit ribosomal RNA", at positions 524 to 776 of the family's 1533-position model. The record is from RNAcentral.
UACGGGGGGGGCAAGCGUUGUUCGGAAUUACUGGGCGUAAAGGGCUCGUAGGCGGCCAACUAAGUCGGAUGUGAAAUCCCCAAGCUUAACUUGGGAACUGCAUCCGAUACUGGAAGGCUUGAAUCCGGGAGAGGGAUGCAGAAUUCCAGGUGUAGCGGUGAAAUGCGUAGAUAUCUGGAGGAAUACCGGUGGCGAAGGCGGCAUCCUGGACCGGGAUUGACGCUGAGGAGCGAAAGCUAGGGGAGCAAACGGG